Molecule: long non-coding RNA, 4304 nt
Organism: Corvus hawaiiensis (hawaiian crow)
Lineage: Eukaryota; Metazoa; Chordata; Aves; Passeriformes; Corvidae
Exons: 3
Source: RefSeq, a predicted model, not a curated record
UCAACGGACUGCUUCCUGGUGGGUGCUUCCCUGCCCCUGGUUGGUCCUGUCACUGCACACAGCUGCCUGUGAGGAUGCUGUGACACCAGAACUGACCUCAGGCCCUGCUCUUCCAGGCCUGCUCAGUCCUCCAGAGCAGGAGUGGUAUUGGGUUUGGAGGCAGCUGAGACACAGACUGCGUUUGGAGCAUUGGAAGAGGCCGUAUCAGUGCUGGGUGUCCAGCUGUGUCAGAGGACAAGAUCACCACGCUCAAAUAGUCUUGACUACUGCUCUGAAGGAGAGCAGUGUGUGAGAGUGCUGCCUAAUAGGCUUCUGACAGAGCCAGCUGGGUGGACAGACAGAAAAAGAAGCAAAACCUAGAAUGAAAGCCCAAGCCAAAGAAACCUUCUGCAUCUAAACAAAGCCCUAUUUGCAACAGGCAGUGGCUGGUUCUAAUUUAGAUAAUCCAAAGUAGGUCACCUGCAGGAGUCUUCCAGACUUUCCAACUUAGUAACUCAGAUGGAUAAUAAAACAAUUUUUAGUUAAUGAGAGACCAUCAGAAAAAAAGAACUCCAGGAAGCUGUGAACUGAAGUAUCUCCUUACUGAAGACAGAAUGACACAUGGCAAGAACAGAUGGGUAAUGCUUCCGUGAUUAUCCUCGACCACUGGCUGAAAGAAAAAGCUGUCACAACACGGAGGGCUGUAUACAGAGCACAUAUCCCCUCAUUGAUAGUAAAAGGUUUUAUAUGCUAAGAGAUUAUAAAGAAAAAGGGAUGCUUUAAUGUGAUGGUGAAGGGAAUAAUUCUUCCAUUUUCCUUUACAUCCUGAAGUGGAGCAUACGCCAAGGUCCUGAACUAAAAUUAUCUCUCAGAAGGAAGGUGUAAUAUGCAUUUCACAUACAUAUUACAUAUUGCAUACAAGCUGAACAUAGAACCUGCUUUUAUUGUCUUUGGAUCCUGACACGGUAUGUUCAGUUGAUAAUUUAUAGACACUGUCACCGGAAUGAAACGUUGGUGUCAAAAAUUUGGCUUUUGCAUAUUCAUUGACACCAGAGUUUGCAUUUGUGCAUUUGUGAAGUAUGAAGUGGCAAAAUGAAACCAGAGUGGAUUAAGAAACGUUUGCUGGGAUCUCAUGUUUUACAGAACCACCAGAACGAAAGGCAUUUCUUGCAUGCAGUGGUCACAUCUCCAUUGACUUUAGUUCUGCCCCCGCACAUAAGAGAGAACCUGAAUUUUAUAACCCACUUGGAGAGUAGCCUGAUGUAAAAUGAGUACCUGGCAAAGAAUCUUGGUUUUGUUUAUGAAAAGUAAAAAAUGGAAGGGUGAAAAUCCAUGGUACAUUAUACCCAGGUGGUGAAGAACACACAUGUAAACCAUAAAAAUGAUUGAAUUGCAGAACAUGAAGUUAAUGGUGGUUCUGUGGUUCCAAAAAAAUCAAAAUACACUUCCUCUACCUUUUAAGUCUAGCAAUAUACCAGCGUUUAAAAACAAAAAGCAAUGUUUUGGGAACUUGUUGCAGAGCAGACAGUGACCUGUAGUCUGAGAUCGUGACAUUUUCAAGGAGUAAUUCCCUACCCUGUUUUGCUCUUUCAGAUUUGAUGCUCAGACCAGUAAGACUGCCAGACUCCCAGGGAAAAGGUCUAUGUCCUCCAUAUGCACUGAAACGAUUAGGAGUGGUGUGUUGUUCUGGCUAGUGAUGGAAGGAAAAGAAAAGAAAGAAUUUGUCACUUCAGGGAAGGAGCCCAAACUUCAGAAGACAUUGCUACUGCUGCUGCAGAUUACUCAUUGAACACUGCUCAUGGCCUAUUUCCAAUCUUUUCUAUUCCUAAGGCACAUUCCUUAGGUGCUAUGAUUUUUUUGAUUUCAUAGGAAUAUACACAAAUUCGCUAUUUGUUCUGUAUUCUUCACAGACUUUCUUUUAAGACUAUAUUAGAGAUACCCAUUCUUAGGCAAAUCAGUUCAUUCACCUUUUUCCCCUUCAACCUGAUAACAUACAUCCGAAAUCUAAAUUUUGAUGUGAUAAGGACAUGACUGUUUUUAAGAAAAAUGCAAAUCUUCACUCUGAAAUAACUUAGUCUUCCACUGAUUACAGAAUGUGCUUCUAAACCGCCUAUGAGUCAGGCUGUGAGUUGGAGUUCAGAUAAGCCUGCAGUGUUUGUUCACCAGAUGGACCAUAAGCUCUGCAAAGUAGAGCAAAGGAUAUUGCUUAUUAACACUGCUCUCAACUCCACUUAUUUCUUUGUGCAAAGUCUGGUUACUUGAUGCAAUUUUAGACUGUAUUUACACUGUUAGGAGGAGGAAACAAUUUUUUUGGUAACAGGAUAGGUAAAUCUAGCAAAGUAGAUCACACUAAAAUGGAACUGAGUAUGGUUCUUUUUUUACAUCAUUUUAAGUAGGCAAGAUUGAUACCCUCCAUCUCUCAAACACACCCACACUGAAUUUACAUACCUGUGCAGUAGCAAAAAAUAUUUAAAUCAAUUAUCUCUUGGGAUUUUAGAGCAAAUUAGCCAAGUCACAGUUGUUACCCUUGCUUAAAACACCAUCUCUUUGACAGUUAUGUGCAACCAACAUAAUACUUAUGUAAGAAUCAAAUCUGUUUUUUCUCUUAUAUACUUUGUGCUAGAUACUAAUUCUCACCUAACAUGGGCAACAUGGGGAAUUUUCAGUGGUAACUCUCUUAAGUGUCCUCUGUGUGACCUGAUUAAAUAUCUUCUGAUGCAACACAGCUCAAUCAAGCUGCCAUUAUUCAUAAAUGUUAUAAUAAGAAAAUUAAUUUAAUGGUUUUAACUUUUAUGCAAUUUCUGAUUUAGUUUGUUCUUUGGAUUGGUACAGUUCACUUCUUCAGUUUCUGUGAUUUUUUUUUUUCAUAUUCUCAAGAUGCUCAGCCUUGCCCUUUUUACUUUUUUGUUUGAAUCACACAAGAAAAAAAAGACAUUAUUAGCUAAAUUCCUUCUAUCUGGCUGUUUUCUUUAGCACAGAAGAAGGAUGUUUUGAGCAGUUAGUGGUCAUUGGUUAUAUUGCAGUUUUAAAAGUGAAUGCCAUACCUACUGCACUGUCCUUUCCAGAUUUUACAUCUCUAAAUAUGGGGAAAGGAGGAGGUUGAAGGAGAAGAAGUCUGCUCCUCUGUCUGCUCUGCUUUUUCUGUCAGUGCAGAAGUGUCUCAUGCUGGGGCUCCCACCCAUACACAGGGCUGACUUUACACUGAAGGCUCAGAUCUUUAUGGCCUAUAAAUUAUUGUGGUUUGGAUACAAAUCUUCUCUCCAGAAGGGCUUUCAGUGUGAGACUGAGCAUGCUGUUCCUCACUGCCCUAUCAGUCACAGUAAUUAUAUUACAGAGAUUAGCAACAUCCAGAGACAUUUUCCAGCAUAAAAAUUUCCCCAUAAAAUCUGGAGGAAAUUUUCCAAUAGGUCAUAAAAAUUUUAAGAACCAUGGAUCACAAGUUCAUCACAAUUACUGCUGUGCUCCUUUUAUAGAAAGCAGUGUUGUCCUGUGCUGAAGUAUUGCCUGCCUUGGAUGUUGCUGUUAGGGCUUGUAGCCAUUUUAGGGUAUCCAUGGGAAUGUGUCUCCCAUUUCCCAGUGAGGUGUGCAGGACCGGAAUCAGGUCCUGAGGCUCUUCAGAGCUCUUGGUCAUUUGGCCUGUUCAGAGUCUGUUUCUUUUCUGGCACCAUGAGCACUUCCUGCCAUCUACAAGCCCAAGGGAAGGCCACAGGGAGCAACCACUUGCUAAGACCACAACUUCCUUUUGAAGAGAAAAGCAUUUAAUCCCAAGUGGAAGAUGCUUUUAUCUUGUAUUUGUCAGCAAAUUUGCUUGACUGUGUUUAUAAUGCCCAAUUAUCUGAUAGUUUGGAAUACAAAAUUAUCCAUCAUCUUCCUGAGCUGUGCAGAGUCUGUCAGAAUAUUCAGGAACACUUUGAGUCUUUUUCAUUUCUUUGUUCUAACAGGUCACUUCACUGUAUUGUGGGACCAGCAAAUCUGAUGCAUGUGCAACUGGUGUGGAAGCCUGACACUGUCAAAAUUUGUUAUCACAGGCUCUCUGCCAUCACCCCAGCUGGCAAAAAUGGGACACGGUUCCAGUUCAUGAACAGGAGGUCAGCCAGACGAUGCUCUGCUGUCACACACAGAGGAGCCUUUCCGGGCUGACUUUCCUGGAAGUUACUAAGGAUGUGUUCUGACCUCUCUGUUGUAGAGACACACCUCGCAGUGAAUAUGCAGAGUGUGGCACUCUUUGAAACUGACACUUUAUACUUCAUCUGCUUGUGAAAUGUUGCAACGAAGGAUAGCUCCUGUAAAAUUUCAUUUCUAGCCUCAUUGGAUCAUGAGGAAAA